Molecule: ribosomal RNA, 382 nt
Filed under: uncultured eukaryote
Lineage: Eukaryota
Description: partial 18S ribosomal RNA
Rfam family: Eukaryotic small subunit ribosomal RNA
Source: RNAcentral
CAAUAGCGUAUAUUAAAGUUGUUGCAGUUAAAAAGCUCGUAGUUGGAUUUCUGGUUGAAGCGACCGGUCGGGCGUUGAUUCGUCUGCACUGGAGUCGGUUUUGGCCAUCCUCUAGGAAAGUGCGUCUGGUAUUAAGUUAUCGGGCGUAUGAUCCUGGUCUUUUACUGUGAAAAAAUUAGAGUGUUUAAAGCAGGCCUUCGCCUUGAAUACGUUAGCAUGGAAUAAUAAGAUAGGACUUUGGUCUAUUUUGUUGGUUUGCAGACCGAAGUAAUGAUUAAUAGGGAUAGUUGGGGGUAUUUAUAUUCCGAUGUCAGAGGUGAAAUUCUUAGAUUUUCGGAAGAUAAACUUAUGCGAAAGCAUUUACCAAGGAUGUUUUCAUUAA